CCCUUCGAUGUUCGGAGCUGCACGCGCGCUACACUGUGGGUGGCAGCAUGUUAGCUUGCCUCGCUCGCAAGAGUGGGGUAAUCGUUUGAAAAUCCCACGUGAUUGGGAUAGGGACUUGUAAUUAUUUCCCUUGAACGAGGAAUCCCUAGUAAGUGCAGGUCAUCAGCUUGCGCUGAUUACGUCCCUGCCCUUUGUACACACCGCCCGUCGCACCUACCGAUUGGAUGGUCCGGUGAAGCCUCGGGAUUGUGGUUCUUGCCGCUUUAUUGUGGCGUGACCGCGAGAACUUGUCUAAACCUUAUCAUCUAGAGGAAGGUGAAGUCGUAACA
Molecule: ribosomal RNA, 329 nt
Filed under: uncultured eukaryote
Lineage: Eukaryota
Description: partial 18S ribosomal RNA
Rfam family: Eukaryotic small subunit ribosomal RNA
Source: RNAcentral